ACGAACGCUGGCGGCAGGCCUAACACAUGCAAGUCGCGCGAGGACUUCGGUUCUAGCGGCGGACGGGUGAGUAACGCGUGGGAAUGUGCCCUUCUCUACGGAAUAGCCCUGGGAAACUGGGAGUAAUACCGUAUACGCCCUAUUGGGGAAAGAUUUAUCGGAGAAGGAUCAGCCCGCGUUGGAUUAGGUAGUUGGUGGGGUAAUGGCCUACCAAGCCGACGAUCCGUAGCUGGUUUGAGAGGAUGAUCAGCCACACUGGGACUGAGACACGGCCCAGACUCCUACGGGAGGCAGCAGUGGGGAAUCUUAGACAAUGGGGGCAACCCUGAUCUAGCCAUGCCGCGUGAGUGAUGAAGGCCUUAGGGUUGUAAAGCUCUUUCAGCUGGGAAGAUAAUGACGGUACCAGCAGAAGAAGCCCCGGCUAACUCCGUG
This 432-nucleotide ribosomal RNA is filed under the name uncultured bacterium. RNAcentral's name for it is "partial 16S ribosomal RNA". It matches the Rfam family "Bacterial small subunit ribosomal RNA", at positions 29 to 507 of the family's 1533-position model. The record is from RNAcentral.